UUUUUAAACACUUACCUUUAAAUAAUGGAUCCAGACAAGGGAUUAAGGCAUGUAGCAUGUUAAAUGGAAUUUAUGCCUCUGCAGUUUUCCAUCGAUUUUCGUCUUGCGCCAACAACAGACUGGGGAUGAAAUACCAAACAUACAAACUGGAUUUGAUAUUAA
This is a long non-coding RNA of Drosophila innubila, 162 nucleotides long. RefSeq lists it as uncharacterized. The transcript has 2 exons. NCBI's taxonomy places the organism in Eukaryota, Metazoa, Arthropoda, Insecta, Diptera, Drosophilidae. The record is from RefSeq and is a predicted model, not a curated record.